UGCCGACCGGGUGUCUGCACUAAGUUCGGUAUCAAUAUGGUGAUCUCCUGGGAGCAGGGGGCCACCAGGUUGCCUAAGGAUGGGUGAACUGGCCCAGAUCAGAAAGGGAGCAGGUCAGAACUCCCUCACUGACUGGUAGUGGGACUGUGCCUGGGAA
This is an unclassified non-coding RNA of Pongo abelii (Sumatran orangutan), 157 nucleotides long. It matches the Rfam family "Metazoan signal recognition particle RNA". From Rfam's summary of the family: The signal recognition particle (SRP) is a universally conserved ribonucleoprotein. It is involved in the co-translational targeting of proteins to membranes. The eukaryotic SRP consists of a 300-nucleotide 7S RNA and six proteins: SRPs 72, 68, 54, 19, 14, and 9. The record is from Ensembl. Lineage: Eukaryota; Metazoa; Chordata; Mammalia; Primates; Hominidae.